Molecule: ribosomal RNA, 922 nt
Filed under: Escherichia coli
Lineage: Bacteria; Pseudomonadati; Pseudomonadota; Gammaproteobacteria; Enterobacterales; Enterobacteriaceae
Description: partial 23S ribosomal RNA
Rfam family: Bacterial large subunit ribosomal RNA
Source: RNAcentral
GGGUUGUGAGGUUAAGCGACUAAGCGUACACGGUGGAUGCCCUGGCAGUCAGAGGCGAUGAAGGACGUGCUAAUCUGCGAUAAGCGUCGGUAAGGUGAUAUGAACCGUUAUAACCGGCGAUUUCCGAAUGGGGAAACCCAGUGUGAUUUGUCACACUAUCAUUAACUGAAUCCAUAGGUUAAUGAGGCGAACCGGGGGAACUGAAACAUCUAAGUACCCCGAGGAAAAGAAAUCAACCGAGAUUCCCCCAGUAGCGGCGAGCGAACGGGGAGGAGCCCAGAGCCUGAAUCAGUGUGUGUGUUAGUGGAAGCGUCUGGAAAGGCGCGCGAUACAGGGUGACAGCCCCGUACACAAAAAUGCACAUGCUGUGAGCUCGAUGAGUAGGGCGGGACACGUGGUAUCCUGUCUGAAUAUGGGGGGACCAUCCUCCAAGGCUAAAUACUCCUGACUGACCGAUAGUGAACCAGUACCGUGAGGGAAAGGCGAAAAGAACCCCGGCGAGGGGAGUGAAAAAGAACCUGAAACCGUGUACGUACAAGCAGUGGGAGCACGCUUCGGCGUGUGACUGCGUACCUUUUGUAUAAUGGGUCAGCGACUUAUAUUCUGUAGCAAGGUUAACCGAAUAGGGGAGCCGAAGGGAAACCGAGUCUUAACUGGGCGUUAAGUUGCAGGGUAUAGACCCGAAACCCGGUGAUCUAGCCAUGGGCAGGUUGAAGGUUGGGUAACACUAACUGGAGGACCGAACCGACUAAUGUUGAAAAAUUAGCGGAUGACUUGUGGCUGGGGGUGAAAGGCCAAUCAAACCGGGAGAUAGCUGGUUCUCCCCGAAAGCUAUUUAGGUAGCGCCUCGUGAAUUCAUCUCCGGGGGUAGAGCACUGUUUCGGCAAGGGGGUCAUCCCGACUUACCAACCCGAUGCAAACU